UUGGAAUCGAAGUCCACAUCCACCACCAUGGCAUCCACAAAUGCGAGAGCCAGAGAGCGGUACAGUGUUACCAGCUCUCAAAAGGUAAACAGCGGGAAAUUUGAAAACUCCAACUGAAAACCGGAACCAUUUUCCGCCUAAUCCUAAUCCCAUUCAUGGUUAGGGCGCGAAAAACUACGCGGGUAAUUUUCUGCGUACCUAUUUUGCUGAGACGUCUUUCCACGAAUUACAAAACAUUUAGAUAAAUCAGGUAGAAAACUAUUGCACAAAACGAAAUGGUUUAGGAUCAGCGAUGGAUCGGAUUAGCCGAUUUACGAUCUUCCGGACUCUGCUCUAAAAAUUAAAAAUCUAGUUAGAGAGUUUGUGAACCUGCUAAUGUUCCACUUAAAGAUUUACAGCACGCGUCGGUCAGUCAUAAAAAUUGGAAGAAAACUCAUUAUCUUACGUCUGCGUUUAGCGUUUAGCAGUUUAAUUACCCUAUAAAGCAAUAAAAACAUGAAAGUUGUACCGCA
Long non-coding RNA from Drosophila sechellia, 512 nucleotides. RefSeq lists it as uncharacterized. NCBI's taxonomy places the organism in Eukaryota, Metazoa, Arthropoda, Insecta, Diptera, Drosophilidae. The transcript has 2 exons. The record is from RefSeq and is a predicted model, not a curated record.